This 254-nucleotide ribosomal RNA is filed under the name uncultured bacterium. RNAcentral describes it as "partial 16S ribosomal RNA". It matches the Rfam family "Bacterial small subunit ribosomal RNA", at positions 524 to 776 of the family's 1533-position model. The record is from RNAcentral.
UACGUAGGGUGCGAGCGUUGUCCGGAAUUAUUGGGCGUAAAGAGCUCGUAGGCGGUGUGUCACGUCGGCCGUGAAAACCUGCAGCUUAACUAUGGGCGUGCGGUCGAUACGGGCAUCACUGGAGUUCGGCAGGGGAGACUGGAAUUCCUGGUGUAGCGGUGAAAUGCGCAGAUAUCAGGAGGAACACCGGUGGCGAAGGCAGCCCCCUGGGCUGAGAUUGACGCUCAGGCACGAAAGCGUGGGGAGCAAACAGG